CCGCCUACGGGGCGCAGCAGUAGGGAAUCUUCCACAAUGGACGAAAGUCUGAUGGAGCAACGCCGCGUGAGUGAAGAAGGGUUUCGGCUCGUAAAGCUCUGUUGGUAGUGAAGAAAGAUAGAGGUAGUAACUGGCCUUUAUUUGACGGUAAUUACUCAGAAAGUCACGGCUAACUACGUGCCAGCAGCCGCGGUAAUACGUAGGCGGCAAGCGUUGUCCGGAUUUAUUGGGCGUAAAGCGAG
This 242-nucleotide ribosomal RNA is filed under the name uncultured bacterium. RNAcentral describes it as "partial 16S ribosomal RNA". It matches the Rfam family "Bacterial small subunit ribosomal RNA", at positions 335 to 569 of the family's 1533-position model. The record is from RNAcentral.